RNAcentral lists this ribosomal RNA (253 nucleotides) under uncultured bacterium. RNAcentral describes it as "partial 16S ribosomal RNA". It matches the Rfam family "Bacterial small subunit ribosomal RNA", at positions 524 to 776 of the family's 1533-position model. The record is from RNAcentral.
UACAGAGGGUGCAAGCGUUAAUCGGAAUUACUGGGCGUAAAGCGUGCGUAGUCGGCUUUUCAAGUCGGGUGUGAAAGCCCCGGGCUCAACCUGGGAAUUGCAUUCGAUACUGGAUGGCUAGAGUUCGGCAGAGGGAAGUGGAAUUUCCGGUGUAGCGGUGAAAUGCGUAGAUAUCGGAAGGAACAUCAGUGGCGAAAGCGACUUCCUGGACCAGAACUGACGAUCAGGCACGAAAGCGUGGGGAGCAAACAGG